AGAGUUUGAUCAUGGCUCAGAUUGAACGCUGGCGGCAUGCCUUACACAUGCAAGUCGAACGGCAGCACGGGAGCAAUCCUGGUGGCGAGUGGCGAACGGGUGAGUAAUACAUCGGAACGUGUCCUGUAGUGGGGGAUAGCCCGGCGAAAGCCGGAUUAAUACCGCAUACGCUCUACGGAGGAAAGGGGGGGAUCUUAGGACCUCUCGCUACAGGGGCGGCCGAUGGCAGAUUAGCUAGUUGGUGGGGUAAAGGCCUACCAAGGCGACGAUCUGUAGCUGGUCUGAGAGGACGACCAGCCACACUGGGACUGAGACACGGCCCAGACUCCUACGGGAGGCAGCAGUGGGGAAUUUUGGACAAUGGGCGCAAGCCUGAUCCAGCAAUGCCGCGUGUGUGAAGAAGGCCUUCGGGUUGUAAAGCACUUUUGUCCGGAAAGAAAUCCUUUGGGCUAAUACCCUGAGGGGAUGACGGUACCGGAAGAAUAAGCACCGGCUAACUACGUGCCAGCAGCCGCGGUAAUACGUAGGGUGCAAGCGUUAAUCGGAAUUACUGGGCGUAAAGCGUGCGCAGGCGGUCCGCUAAGACAGAUGUGAAAUCCCCGGGCUUAACCUGGGAACUGCAUUUGUGACUGGCGGGCUAGAGUAUGGCAGAGGGGGGUAGAAUUCCACGUAGCAGUGAAAUGCGUAGAGAUGUGGAGGAAUACCGAUGGCGAAGGCAGCCCCCUGGGCCAAUACUGACGCUCAUGCACGAAAGCGUGGGGAGCAAACAGGAUUAGAUACCCUAGUAGUCC
RNAcentral lists this ribosomal RNA (791 nucleotides) under uncultured bacterium. RNAcentral describes it as "bacterial SSU rRNA". It matches the Rfam family "Bacterial small subunit ribosomal RNA", at positions 8 to 796 of the family's 1533-position model. The record is from RNAcentral.